CAGAGUUCUCGCCCUCGCGGGUAGAUCUCCCACCCUUUGUGAUUGCUACCGUGUUGCUUUGGCGGGCCGCCGGGCCCAGCCCGGCCGCCGGCUCCGGCUGGCGCGCGCCCGCCAGAGGCUCCGCAAACUCUGAAUGUCUGCGUCGUCCGAGUACUAUACAAUAGUUA
This 167-nucleotide unclassified non-coding RNA is filed under the name uncultured fungus. RNAcentral describes it as "sequence contains ITS1, 5.8S rRNA gene". Lineage: Eukaryota; Fungi. The record is from RNAcentral.